Molecule: ribosomal RNA, 454 nt
Filed under: uncultured bacterium
Lineage: Bacteria
Description: bacterial SSU rRNA
Rfam family: Bacterial small subunit ribosomal RNA
Source: RNAcentral
AAAUUUUGCGCAAUUGGGCGAAAGCCUGACGCAGCGACGCCGCGUGGAGGAUGACGGCUUCGGGUUGUAAACUCCUGUCAGAGGUGAAGAAAUCCUGAUUUAUCAGGUUUGACUGUAACCUCAGAGGAAGCCCCGUCUAACUACGUGCCAGCAGCCGCUGUAAUACGUAGGGCGCAAACGUUGCUCGGAAUUACUGGGCGUAAAGGGUGUAGUACGGUGGCUGAGUAAGUCACGGAUGAAAUCCCGAGGCUCAACCUCGGAAUUGUCCUUGAAACUGCUCAGCUUGAGGAUAGCUGAAGAGGACGGAAUUCCCGGUGGAGCGGUGAAAUGUCGUAGAUAUCGGGAGGAACACCAGAGGCGAAGGCGGUUUUCUAAGCUAUUCCUCACACUGAGACACGAAAUGCUAGGGGAGCAAACGGGAUUAGAUACCCCGUAUCCUAGUCCUAAAUCGAUG